Molecule: ribosomal RNA, 260 nt
Filed under: uncultured bacterium
Lineage: Bacteria
Description: partial small subunit ribosomal RNA
Rfam family: Bacterial small subunit ribosomal RNA
Source: RNAcentral
AGGACGAACGCUGGCGGCGUGCUUAACACAUGCAAGUCGAACGAGGCCCUGCCUUCGGGCAGGUGACCUAGUGGCGAACGGGUGAGUAACACGUGGGCAACCUACCCUCAGCUCUGGGAUAAACCCCGGGAAACCGGAGCUAAUACCGGAUACGACCUGGAACGACAUCGUUCCUGGUGGAAAGUUUUUUCGGCUGAGGAUGGGCCCGCGGCCUAUCAGCUUGUUGGUGGGGUAAUGGCCUACCAAGGCGACGACGGGUA